RNAcentral lists this ribosomal RNA (1517 nucleotides) under Bacteroides thetaiotaomicron. RNAcentral's name for it is "bacterial SSU rRNA". It matches the Rfam family "Bacterial small subunit ribosomal RNA". Lineage: Bacteria; Pseudomonadati; Bacteroidota; Bacteroidia; Bacteroidales; Bacteroidaceae. The record is from RNAcentral.
ACAAUGAAGAGUUUGAUCCUGGCUCAGGAUGAACGCUAGCUACAGGCUUAACACAUGCAAGUCGAGGGGCAGCAGGAUCUAGCAAUAGAUUGCUGGCGACCGGCGCACGGGUGAGUAACACGUAUCCAACCUGCCGAUAACUCGGGGAUAGCCUUUCGAAAGAAAGAUUAAUACCCGAUGGUAUAAUCAGACCGCAUGGUCUUGUUAUUAAAGAAUUUCGGUUAUCGAUGGGGAUGCGUUCCAUUAGGCAGUUGGUGAGGUAACGGCUCACCAAACCUUCGAUGGAUAGGGGUUCUGAGAGGAAGAUCCCACAUUGGAACUGAGACACGGUCCAAACUCCUACGGGAGGCAGCAGUGAGGAAUAUUGGUCAAUGGGCGCAGGCCUGAACCAGCCAAGUAGCGUGAAGGAUGACUGCCCUAUGGGUUGUAAACUUCUUUUAUAUGGGAAUAAAGUUUUCCACGUGUGGAAUUUUGUAUGUACCAUAUGAAUAAGGAUCGGCUAACUCCGUGCCAGCAGCCGCGGUAAUACGGAGGAUCCGAGCGUUAUCCGGAUUUAUUGGGUUUAAAGGGAGCGUAGGUGGACAGUUAAGUCAGUUGUGAAAGUUUGCGGCUCAACCGUAAAAUUGCAGUUGAUACUGGCUGUCUUGAGUACAGUAGAGGUGGGCGGAAUUCGUGGUGUAGCGGUGAAAUGCUUAGAUAUCACGAAGAACUCCGAUUGCGAAGGCAGCUCACUGGACUGCAACUGACACUGAUGCUCGAAAGUGUGGGUAUCAAACAGGAUUAGAUACCCUGGUAGUCCACACAGUAAACGAUGAAUACUCGCUGUUUGCGAUAUACAGUAAGCGGCCAAGCGAAAGCAUUAAGUAUUCCACCUGGGGAGUACGCCGGCAACGGUGAAACUCAAAGGAAUUGACGGGAGCGCACAAGCGGAGGAACAUGUGGUUUAAUUCGAUGAUACGCGAGGAACCUUACCCGGGCUUAAAUUGCAUUUGAAUAUAUUGGAAACAGUAUAGCCGUAAGGCAAAUGUGAAGGUGCUGCAUGGUUGUCGUCAGCUCGUGCCGUGAGGUGUCGGCUUAAGUGCCAUAACGAGCGCAACCCUUAUCUUUAGUUACUAACAGGUCAUGCUGAGGACUCUAGAGAGACUGCCGUCGUAAGAUGUGAGGAAGGUGGGGAUGACGUCAAAUCAGCACGGCCUUACGUCCGGGGCUACACACGUGUUACAAUGGGGGGUACAGAAGGCAGCUACCUGGUGACAGGAUGCUAAUCCCAAAAGCCUCUCUCAGUUCGGAUCGAAGUCUGCAACCCGACUUCGUGAAGCUGGAUUCGCUAGUAAUCGCGCAUCAGCCAUGGCGCGGUGAAUACGUUCCCGGCCUUGUACACACCGCCCGUCAAGCCAUGAAAGCCGGGGGUACCUGAAGUACGUAACCGCAAGGAGCGUCCUAGGGUAAAACUGGUAAUUGGGGCUAAGUCGUAACAAGGUAGCCGUACCGGAAGGUGCGGCUGGAACACCUCCUUU